CGGCAGCUGCAGGCUACUGUACCAUAAUGUGGCUAGUGUCUGUCACUCAAGGAAGAGCUUGAUGUUGUAUCCUAUUAUGACCCAAUUAAAGAGCAAGCCAACAUUGCUAUUUGUUCGGCUUUGAGGUUGGAGUGAAAGGCAACAAUGCCUUCAAAUGAAAGGAAACCAUCGCACGUAUCAUGUACUUGUGUUUCCAUUGCAAUAGCAGGAUAUUGGGCAUAUGGGCGCAGGGAUGCUAACAGCAAUUUAUCACAAGCUGUUCUAAUUAAUAACAAGAAAGCAGCUUAAUUAGUGAUAAUUAAGGCAGUGACCGCAUUCCGAAUUUAUGGGAUGCCAGUGUUAGAUUAGAUGAACUUCAGUCAAGAUACAACAAAUGGAAGAACAAGCCCUGCCCCGUACGUGGUGGCACCCGGUCAAUUCUUUCGUGCUGUGUGUUGGAUACCGGCGCUUCCUUUUUCCUUAGCGGUGGCGCCAUACCUUUCUUGGUUGGUAGGUUGAAUAGGGUCGGAGUUGCAGUGCCGGUUACAUUUGCUUAUCCAUGUUUAAUUAAUGUGGCUUAAGAUUAAGAAACCAAAUAAAUAUGGAAUCAUGUGGGCGGCUGAAUUGGGUACUAGCUAGCUUUCCUUUUUUUUUUUUUUUUUUUUUUUUUUUUUCUUUUUAAGCCUAACUACUAGAUUGAAAUAUUGAGUAGGAGUUUUUCAAUUAAAUUUGAAGUGUUUUGUUGGCUUCGUUUUUUCCCUUUUACUCUUCCAAUAUGCUCUUUUCUUUUCAUUUUGAUUAUAUAAAGUAAUUCUGAAUUAUUGUUAUCAUUCUCUUUCGAGAUAAAUUCUGAAAUAUGUUUUGCAUGUUAAAUAAAUAAAUUAAUGUUUUUAAUUAGGCUUCAUUUUUCAUAAUUCAAAUUGCACUUUACAGUCCCAUCAAGAAAAGAGAAAUAAUUGCCGUUGCAAAUGUUAUUUGUUAUCUUAAUCACGUACACUUUGCCUUCUAAUAUCGUAGCAGCCAGUUUAGGAAAUGGAUUAUUGUCUUCUAAUCUAAUGAAUUAAACUACUAAUUAACGUUUUAAGUCAUUGUCUACUUUCAUCGAAUGGCAGUGGAGCUUUAUCAGGA
Molecule: long non-coding RNA, 1107 nt
Organism: Ricinus communis (castor bean)
Lineage: Eukaryota; Viridiplantae; Streptophyta; Magnoliopsida; Malpighiales; Euphorbiaceae
Exons: 3
Source: RefSeq, a predicted model, not a curated record